Molecule: ribosomal RNA, 475 nt
Filed under: uncultured bacterium
Lineage: Bacteria
Description: bacterial SSU rRNA
Rfam family: Bacterial small subunit ribosomal RNA
Source: RNAcentral
AGAGUUUGAUCCUGGCUCAGAGUGAACGCUGGCGGCAGGCCUAACACAUGCAAGUCGAGCGGCAGCGGGUCCUUCGGGAUGCCGGCGAGCGGCGGACGGGUGAGGAAUGCAUCGGAAUCUGCCCUGAUGUGGGGGAUAACGUAGGGAAACUUACGCUAAUACCGCAUACGCCCUGAGGGGGAAAGCGGGGGACCGUAAGGCCUCGCGCGAUUAGAGCGGCCGAUAUCUGAUUAGCUUGUUGGUGGGGUAAAAGCCCACCAAGGCGACGAUCAGUAGCUGGUCUGAGAGGACGAUCAGCCACACUGGGACUGAGACACGGCCCAGACUCCUACGGGAGGCAGCAGUGGGGAAUUUUGGACAAUGGGGGCAACCCUGAUCCAGCAAUGCCGCGUGAGUGAAGAAGGCCUUCGGGUUGUAAAGCUCUUUUGUCAGGGAAGAAACAGCAGCUCUAACACAGUCUGCGAAUGACGGUACC